This 322-nucleotide ribosomal RNA is filed under the name uncultured eukaryote. RNAcentral's name for it is "partial 18S ribosomal RNA". It matches the Rfam family "Eukaryotic small subunit ribosomal RNA", at positions 1470 to 1796 of the family's 1831-position model. The record is from RNAcentral.
UCCUUAGAUGUUCUGGGCCGCACGCGUACUACACUGAUGCAAGCAAUAAGUUUCUACUCCGAAAGGAAAUAGGUAAUCUUUUUAAACUGCAUCGUGCUUGGGAUAGACUUUUGCAAUUAUAGGUCUUGAACGAGGAAUUCCUAGUAAGCAUGGGUCAUCAGCCCAUGUUGAUUACGUCCCUGCCCUUUGUACACACCGCCCGUCGCUCCUACCGAUUGAAUGGUCCGGUGAACCCUCCGGAUCGACCCGCGCCAACGCAAGUUGAGCAAAGGCCGAGAAGUUGGGUAAACCUUNCNAUUUAGNGGAAGGUGAANUCGUANCA